RNAcentral lists this ribosomal RNA (657 nucleotides) under uncultured Streptococcus sp. RNAcentral describes it as "bacterial SSU rRNA". It matches the Rfam family "Bacterial small subunit ribosomal RNA", at positions 237 to 885 of the family's 1533-position model. Lineage: Bacteria; Bacillati; Bacillota; Bacilli; Lactobacillales; Streptococcaceae. The record is from RNAcentral.
UGUAUUAGCUAGUAGGUGAAGUAACGGCUCACUUAGGCGACGAUACAUAGCCGACCUGAGAGGGUGAUCGGCCACACUGGGACUGAGACACGGCCCAGACUCCUACGGGAGGCAGCAGUAGGGAAUCUUCGGCAAUGGGGGCAACCCUGACCGAGCAACGCCGCGUGAGUGAAGAAGGUUUUCGGAUCGUAAAGCUCUGUUGUAAGAGAAGAACGAGUGUGAGAGUGGAAAGUUCACACUGUGACGGUAUCUUACCAGAAAGGGACGGCUAACUACGUGCCAGCAGCCGCGGUAAUACGUAGGUCCCGAGCGUUGUCCGGAUUUAUUGGGCGUAAAGCGAGCGCAGGCGGUUAGAUAAGUCUGAAGUUAAAGGCUGUGGCUUAACCAUAGUACGCUUUGGAAACUGUUUAACUUGAGUGCAGAAGGGGAGAGUGGAAUUCCAUGUGUAGCGGUGAAAUGCGUAGAUAUAUGGAGGAACACCGGUGGCGAAAGCGGCUCUCUGGUCUGUAACUGACGCUGAGGCUCGAAAGCGUGGGGAGCGAACAGGAUUAGAUACCCUGGUAGUCCACGCCGUAAACGAUGAGUGCUAGGUGUUAGGCCCUUUCCGGGGCUUAGUGCCGUAGCUAACGCAUUAAGCACUCCGCCUGGGGAGUACGA